Molecule: ribosomal RNA, 253 nt
Filed under: uncultured bacterium
Lineage: Bacteria
Description: partial 16S ribosomal RNA
Rfam family: Bacterial small subunit ribosomal RNA
Source: RNAcentral
GACGAACCGUGCGAACGUUGUUCGGAAUCACUGGGCUUAAAGGGCGCGUAGGCGGGUGACCAAGUCCGGGGUGAAAUCUUUCGGCUUAACCGGAAAAGUGCCUUGGAUACUGGUCGCCUGGAGGGAGGUAGGGGCAUGUGGAACUUCCGGUGGAGCGGUGAAAUGCGUUGAUAUCGGAAGGAACGCCGGUGGCGAAAGCGACGUGCUGGCCCUCUUCUGACGCUGAGGCGCGAAAGCCAGGGGAGCGAACAGG